CUACGAGUUUGAUCCUGGCUCAGAUUGAACGCUGGCGGCAUGCUUUACACAUGCAAGUCGAACGGUAACAGGUCUUCGGAUGCUGACGAGUGGCGAACGGGUGAGUAAUGUAUCGGAACGUGCCCAGUAGUGGGGGAUAACUACUCGAAAGAGUGGCUAAUACCGCAUGAGAACUGAGGUUGAAAGCGGGGGACCUUCGGGCCUCGCGCUACUGGAGCGGCCGAUAUCAGAUUAGGUAGUUGGUGGGGUAAAGGCCUACCAAGCCGACGAUCUGUAGCUGGUCUGAGAGGACGACCAGCCACACUGGGACUGAGACACGGCCCAGACUCCUACGGGAGGCAGCAGUGGGGAAUUUUGGACAAUGGACGCAAGUCUGAUCCAGCAAUGCCGCGUGCAGGACGAAGGCCUUCGGGUUGUAAACUGCUUUUGUACAGAACGAAAGGGCUCUGGUUAAUACCUGGGGCAGAUGACGGUACUGUAAGAAUAAGCACCGGCUAACUACGUG
This 505-nucleotide ribosomal RNA is filed under the name uncultured bacterium. RNAcentral's name for it is "bacterial SSU rRNA". It matches the Rfam family "Bacterial small subunit ribosomal RNA", at positions 1 to 507 of the family's 1533-position model. The record is from RNAcentral.